AGCUCACAGAUCCAGAGACCCAGACCAAAGCAACAGCACCACAACACUGACUCAAUAGCUUUUGUUUCACACUCCAGUACUCUUAAGUGAUUUGCAAACUGCCAAUAAACCAAACCGGUUCAAGAACCAUUCUUGUGCUUUUCUGGUGCUUAACUGAUUCUUCUCUGGUCUUAUCUGGUCCGCCCAAUGCUGCUCUUCUGAGAGCAACCGCUCUGACAGCUCUCUCUAGUCUCUACUGGGAAACAGCUAAAAGUCCUUCUGGAGGCUUUGCAUUUGAACUCCUAUGACUGGUUGCGGACUUGAAGGGAACGCCUUCCUGACAUC
This is a long non-coding RNA of Notothenia coriiceps (black rockcod), 324 nucleotides long. RefSeq lists it as uncharacterized. The record is from RefSeq and is a predicted model, not a curated record. Lineage: Eukaryota; Metazoa; Chordata; Actinopteri; Perciformes; Nototheniidae. The transcript is spliced from 2 exons.